CGGGGGCCUCCCACUUAUUCUACAGCUCUCAUGUCUCUUCACCAUGCCAGACUAGAGUCAAGCAGAUAGGAAGAGCG
This is a long non-coding RNA of Lynx canadensis (Canada lynx), 77 nucleotides long. RefSeq lists it as uncharacterized. The transcript has 3 exons. Lineage: Eukaryota; Metazoa; Chordata; Mammalia; Carnivora; Felidae. The record is from RefSeq and is a predicted model, not a curated record.